GGACACAUCAGGGUGAAGACGCAACAGCAAGUGUGGUACAGUUGCAAGGUCGAACUUUUAUGAGACGAAGACACGAGUGCAUGUUCCUUCCUAGCUUUUGGUCCAAAGACAGUCAGGGGUGCCUUAUCAACGUGUACACUAAUUUUAUGGUCAACGCGUGUUGCAGAACGAUUUUAGAUAUUACAACAUUGAAUAGUAGAAGUCCUCUGAGAUACUGAGUACUGCACAACACCCGCCUGCUAGCAACCAAGCCUUUCAUUCACUUUCUGGAACCAAACGCAAAUUCAUGUAUCUAUUGUAUUUUAAUGAUAGCUAAAUAGAUACGUUUGUCAUUACUUGUUUCUUUUACUUUGAUAUAAAAUAAUGUCGAUAAAGUGGUAAUUAAUAAUAAAGGUAUGGUAAUUGUUUGAGUACUUUCGAAUUUAAUCCGCUAAAUUGAUCUGUAAAUAUUGUGUUUGGGAUUGUUGAUUUCUGCAGUAACAGAAGAUAUCUAAAACCAAAAGGUUUUUUAAAAGUUUGUAAAUAUUCAUAGCAUUUUGUAAAUUAUUGAGUUUGAGCAUUUUAAGAAUACACGUUUAAGAUUUUCCAACAGCCCACAUUUAUAAAUACAAUUUGUGUGAAUUUACGAUUUUGCUUCUUGAAAAGCUAUUCUGUAUUUUAUU
Lingula anatina is the source of this 662-nucleotide long non-coding RNA. Lineage: Eukaryota; Metazoa; Brachiopoda; Lingulata; Lingulida; Lingulidae. The record is from RefSeq and is a predicted model, not a curated record.